This 253-nucleotide ribosomal RNA is filed under the name uncultured bacterium. RNAcentral's name for it is "partial 16S ribosomal RNA". It matches the Rfam family "Bacterial small subunit ribosomal RNA", at positions 524 to 776 of the family's 1533-position model. The record is from RNAcentral.
UACGUAGGUGGCAAGCGUUAUCCGGAAUUAUUGGGCGUAAAGAGCUCGUAGGCGGUUUGUCGCGUCUGCCGUGAAAGUCCGGGGCUUAACCCCGGAUCUGCGGUGGGUACGGGCAGACUAGAGUGCAGUAGGGGAGACUGGCAUUCCUGGUGUAGCGGUGAAAUGCGCAGAUAUCAGGAGGAACACCGAUGGCGAAGGCAGGUCUCUGGGCUGUAACUGACGCUGAGGAGCGAAAGCAUGGGGAGCGAACAGG